This 398-nucleotide transfer RNA is filed under the name uncultured Microcystis sp. Its description in RNAcentral is "bacterial LSU rRNA". The stretch from base 135 to 208 matches the Rfam family "tRNA". Lineage: Bacteria; Bacillati; Cyanobacteriota; Cyanophyceae; Chroococcales; Microcystaceae. The record is from RNAcentral.
GAGGGAGACCUAAUUCAGGUAGGAGACGAGAAAAAAGUAGUCGCUACCAAGAAUCAAUCCCAAAAGGUCGGAGCGAGGCGAAAUUGGCUUUCAAACUAGGUUCUGGGUUCAAACAAGACCUGAAUCAGGAACAAGGGCUAUUAGCUCAGGUGGUUAGAGCGCACCCCUGAUAAGGGUGAGGUCCCUGGUUCGAGUCCAGGAUGGCCCACCUGUACAGGUGGCAAAAACAAGAGAAGCGAGGAAUCAGCACCUUAUCUUACUGACAUAGUAAGAGAGAAUGCUGGCUCUGAGUUCAGAGUCCAGAGGAACCUUGAAAACUGCAUAGAGCUAGGUGAAAAAGCCAAAAAAGAAGACCGCAAGGUCAAGCUAAUAAGGGCUAACGGUGGAUACCUAGGCAC